Molecule: ribosomal RNA, 440 nt
Filed under: uncultured bacterium
Lineage: Bacteria
Description: partial 16S ribosomal RNA
Rfam family: Bacterial small subunit ribosomal RNA
Source: RNAcentral
CCUACGGGAGGCAGCAGUGGGGAAUAUUGCACAAUGGGGGAAACCCUGAUGCAGCGACGCCGCGUGAGUGAAGAAGUAUCUCGGUACGUAAAGCUCUAUCAGCAGGGAAGAUAAUGACGGUAUCUGACCAAGAAGCGCCAGCUAACUACGUGCGCGCAGCCGCGGUAAUACGUAGGGGGCAAGCGUUAUCCGGAUUUACUGGGUGUAAAGGGAGCGUAGACGGCAGAACAAGUCUGGUGUGAAAUCCCGGGGCUUAACCCCGGAACUGCUUUGGAAAAAGUGCGGCUGGAGUGCAGGAGGGGUAAGCGGAAUUCCUAGUGUAGCGGUGAAAUGCGUAGAUAUUAGGAAGAACACCAGUGGCGAAGGCGGCUGACUGGACGGUAACUGACGGUGAGGCGCGAAAGCGUGGGGAGCAAACAGGAUUAGAUACCCCUGUAGUC